CGUACGGGUGGCAGCAGUGGGGAAUAUUGGACAAUGGGGGGAACCCUGAUCCAGCCAUGCCGCGUGUGUGAAGAAGGCCCUCGGGUUGUAAAGCACUUUCAGUGAGGAAGAACGCCUGGUGGUUAAUACCCAUCAGGAAAGACAUCACUCACAGAAGAAGCACCGGCUAACUCCGUGCCAGCAGCCGCGGUAAUACGGAGGGUGCGAGCGUUAAUCGGAAUUACUGGGCGUAAAGCGCGCGUAGGUGGCUUGAUAAGCCGGUUGUGAAAGCCCCGGGCUCAACCUGGGAACGGCAUCCGGAACUGUCAAGCUAGAGUGCAGGAGAGGAAGGUAGAAUUCCCGGUGUAGCGGUGAAAUGCGUAGAGAUCGGGAGGAAUACCAGUGGCGAAGGCGGCCUUCUGGACUGACACUGACACUGAGGUGCGAAAGCGUGGGUAGCAAACAGGAUUAGAUACCCCUGUAGUC
RNAcentral lists this ribosomal RNA (465 nucleotides) under Vreelandella stevensii. RNAcentral's name for it is "partial 16S ribosomal RNA". It matches the Rfam family "Bacterial small subunit ribosomal RNA", at positions 338 to 795 of the family's 1533-position model. Lineage: Bacteria; Pseudomonadati; Pseudomonadota; Gammaproteobacteria; Oceanospirillales; Halomonadaceae. The record is from RNAcentral.